RNAcentral lists this long non-coding RNA (728 nucleotides) under Brassica napus (rape). Its description in RNAcentral is "long non-coding RNA (BNAP_LNC004196)". Lineage: Eukaryota; Viridiplantae; Streptophyta; Magnoliopsida; Brassicales; Brassicaceae. The record is from RNAcentral.
UCCUUAUCAAUUUUGCAUUUGAUGCUACAAAAGGCUGCGGCGGCCGCGCAGGAAGACAACCAUGUAUUCCAAUAACAACAAAGAAUGCAAAAACAAAUAAAAAUCGAAUGCCUCAAAAUUUCUUCGAAUAACAAAAUGAAAAGUUGAUCAACCUUUUUAUAAUUUCUUAUGAAUCAAAACCCCAAUCUCGAUCUUUGAUCUACUUUGUGUUCCUGCUUAAUCUCACUCUCGAUCUCACACCUCUCUCGAUCUCUAGUGUGUAUAAGACUAGAAAGAAAGCAUAACAAGACGCACAAGAUUGUUUACCCAGUUCGGGAUUGGAUGUGAAUCCGCCGGGGCUUGACAGUUAAUGGUUAAUAUGAUUGUUUAAUUUAUUUAUUUUAAUAUAAAAUAUAUGAAAAUUAAGUAUAUGGCUCUUUUCCUCGCUGAGUUGAAAGCCGCCUUUGUACCACCACCGUUAAGGUUUGGCAGCUGUUGAGGUAUUGGGAGGCCAGACGGUUCAUAUCUGAAGCAUGUCCCACUACCUACGUCGCGUCUCAUCACCGAUUAACUUCCACCACCACGCUACAAGUUCGAAGAAACCCGAACCGCCGUGGAUCUACAGAAGAGACACUCGGAAGGCUUGGAUCUGACCCCACCAUUAUGAUUCGUAAAGUCGGAGACUACCGGUGUCCCGCUACACCUAUGCCACCUUAUGAAAUUUUUUUUUUUGUGUUUUCUGAAUUGAC